Molecule: unclassified non-coding RNA, 1190 nt
Filed under: Hevea brasiliensis (rubber tree)
Lineage: Eukaryota; Viridiplantae; Streptophyta; Magnoliopsida; Malpighiales; Euphorbiaceae
Source: RNAcentral
GUUUUUUUCAACAGCAUCUAAAAUGGAUCCACUUCUACAAAGCAUUUUUUUUACCAUGAAACUCAAUGCCAAAUGGGGCCAAAGAAAACUAACUCCAACUAUUAGCUUACAUGAUAAGCAUCUCCUCACCAAUCCUCUAAUCCCAGGGACAAUACAUUACCCUUCUCUGUAGAACACCCUUGUCCACAAGGAUGAACCCAACCUUUUCAUUAGAAACUUUCCUCUAAUUUAGCUAAAAAAAUCCCUUAAAACUACUGGAGAAUACUCCUCAAUUGGUUCCAUUUCACCGACCCAAAAUUGCAACCGGAAGAGUAUCCUUACAAACUUGCAAUUCAAAUGUGCUGACCUUAACAUUCUCACAAACACCUGUACACAAAAUCUUUUUACCCGGAAAUUGUUCUUCUUGCUCUGCCUUCUUACUAUUUCCCACUGAUCUUCUAUGAGCAGUAGAAAAGAACAACACUCCAGCACACAAUAACAGCCACCUAACUCAAAUUCAGAGUCAGAAAAAAUCAAAAUCACAAUCUUUCUCCUUCUUAAAAUUUUCCCACCAAGAACAAAUUCUCGUUAAACAUUUUACUUUGAUAGAGAACAAAAAACUUAAACAAAUUUGCUCCCAUCUUCAUUGAUUUUUUCCCCCAAUCCAAAAUUAACCUAUUAACAAAAGCCACUCCCAAGUAACUGAGUAAGUUUUAAUUGGUAGAGUAGGUGAGAGAUAUUUACCCUUCGAAAUGUAUAUUGACAGAUCAAUUUGACUUGUUUGCCAAGAAUCAAAACACUUUGAGGAAAGAUACUCAUCUUGAAUGGACGAACAGUUUAGAUCAUCAUUGAGAUCAGAAUCUUGAUCUUCUUCCUCGAGAUUAGACAUUUCUCCAUGAUUGUAUCGUUCACAAAUGGUUGGUGCUGAUUCCCAUUCAUCAUCUUUUUGCAAUUAAUCAAUUAGUGACUUGAGUUCUCUUAGAAAAUCCUAAAUUUCUUCCAUGUUUUGUUUCAUAGAAGCUCCCCAUGAAGAAAAUGUUUUGACUUUCUAACAAUUCCACCAUACAUCAUUGAUUCUUCUCGUAAGUAUUGCCCUUUAAACCUUCACCAAUUUCUUGCAAAAAAUUUUGAAAAUUGCAUUCAGAAGACUGCAAUUGCUCUCCAAGAAUUUGGAAAUUUGGGUCUUCUGCCAUGGAUUUCUUCAAUUAAAG